RNAcentral lists this ribosomal RNA (433 nucleotides) under uncultured bacterium. Its description in RNAcentral is "partial 16S ribosomal RNA". It matches the Rfam family "Bacterial small subunit ribosomal RNA", at positions 29 to 507 of the family's 1533-position model. The record is from RNAcentral.
AACGAACGCUGGCGGCAUGCCUAACACAUGCAAGUCGAACGGGACCUUCGGGUCUAGUGGCGCACGGGUGCGUAACGCGUGGGAACCUGCCCUUAGGUUCGGAAUAACUCAGAGAAAUUUGAGCUAAUACCGGAUAAUGUCUUCGGACCAAAGAUUUAUCGCCUUUGGAUGGGCCCGCGUAGGAUUAGCUUGUUGGUGGGGUAAUGGCCUACCAAGGCGACGAUCCUUAGCUGGUCUGAGAGGAUGAUCAGCCACACUGGGACUGAGACACGGCCCAGACUCCUACGGGAGGCAGCAGUGGGGAAUAUUGGACAAUGGGCGAAAGCCUGAUCCAGCAAUGCCGCGUGAGUGAUGAAGGCCUUAGGGUUGUAAAGCUCUUUUACCAGGGAUGAUAAUGACAGUACCUGGAGAAUAAGCUCCGGCUAACUCCGUG